AUUUUUGGUCAGCUCUCGGGUAGCCUUUAGCAGAGCUUGUACCGGUACAAGGUUGAUGGCUGUACCGGUACAAGGCUGGUGGCUGUACCGGUACAAGGCUGGUGGUUGUACCGGUACAGGGUAGUACAGGGCCGGUUACCCCGCCAACCCGAGCCUCGGGUUGUGAUUUUCGUGGGACUUGUACCGGUACAAGGGCCCGUGUACCGGUACGAGGAGGCUGAUUUCGUGCUGUUUGAACUGUAGAGGUGUUUUUGCAAUUGUGGACCUCUUAUUUGAACCCCCCACGCCCUAAGGGCUUCUCCUGAGCUUGGGACCAGCAAGAGGAGAGGUAAGGGAGCCUUCACACCCUCCCCCUCCAUUUCUUUGAUUUUGGUUGGGUUUUUAAGAGAUUAAACCCCUCUUUUGCUUUUUUUUGGUUAUUGGAGGCAUUUCCACUAUUAGAGCUUGGGCUUGGAGCUUGUUGGAGGAGAGAUUCUUGGACCUUAAGGACUUUGAACCUUGUUGGAAGCUUCUAAGAGGUUGGUAGCUUAUUCUCUCCCUCUAGAUUUUGGUUUUGAAGCUUUAUACUAGAUGAAACCCUAGAAUGAGAGUUUAUGGUUGUUUUUGGGGCUUUUUGAUUAGAGGCUUUUGGAACCAAUCUAAUGGGAUUAGAACUUUGUAUUAGGUUCCUUUGAAUGAGAUUUGGCCUCCAUCUGAACCUUGGAGAUGGAUUUUUACUCAUUAGGUGAGUUUUAGCCCUUUUGCUAUAAUUGUUAAUGUUUGAUCUUAUAGUUGAUCGUAAUGCCCGUGUAUCUCUUCGCUCAAUACUUUUAGGGUGAUUUGAGACUCGUGGACAACUUCGUUCGGCGAGACGAGGCAAUACGCGACGGUUCGGUGGGUUUGACCUAGCCACACAAUCAGAAAUUCUCAUUUGUGAUGAUUUAAGUAUCGUUAAUUGAAAAAGCAUGCAUAUUCUUGUUAUAUGCAUUUAUUGUGAAUUUUAGAAUGCUUAAAAUGCCUAUGUUACAUAUGAUGAAAUUUUGGACCUCUAUGUAGUAGAGAGUUGCUUGGGAGAUUUAUAGUUGCAUUUAGCAUUCUAUAUGAGACUUGGUUUCAUACUUCUAUAGUGUAAAUGAGCUUGGAUUCAUGCAUUUAAACUUAAGUUUAUUUGAGACAUGAAAGAUGACAAAAUUGCCAUAGAGGGGUAUCGAACUAGAAUGCAUGUGAAUUGGUGAGCUAAUGUCAUUAAGCGGCAUUGAGCUCGGAUUAUGUGUGAACCUAGUGGUUAGAGCCAUUGCGGGAUUUGGUUUAUGUUGAACAUUAAAUUGCCUAAGUGUCAUCAAGGGGCACUAGGCGUAGUGAGUGUUUGGAACUUCGCUUUGUGACUUAACUAGAUCUUCGGAAUGCUAGUGACGAUACCAUGUUAGAGACAUGAAGUUUGGGUACUUGAGACUUGGACUAUGCUUGCUUGCCAUUUGUGCUCAUUCGCACAUGCUUGUGAGGGUCGCUCCCUACAAGCCGGCACUUCGGAGUUAGCCUACGCGACCUAUGUUCGCUCGUGCGGUAUUGAGAAGCCUACGGGGUCGAGUGGGACAGACACAUUCCAAGAGUAGGAAUGUUGGGCUACUACAGGCACUUAGGCGGCACAAGCUGAACUACCUUUGGUAGGUCCUUAAUUGGAAAUGAAAAUCGACACGAUGUUGAGUUUAUUAUAAUCACUACUAGAUAGAGAAUAGUAGUUGGAUUACGUGGACUUGCUUUUAGCAUAGUUUUGGGUACUUGGAUAUACAUACAUGCAUGUAGCAUACUAGGAGAUGUUGCCUAUCGCAUUCAUACAUACAUUAUUGCCAUGAUAAAGCAUGAUCUUCAUAAUUUCAUAAAACAAAUAAUGAUUAUUACUUGUGGUCAUGUCAGGACGUACUUGUUCAUAAUGAAAUAGGUGUGCAUCAUAUUUGACACAAUGUAGUACCUUAGUAUGUUUAUUUAUGCUUUCAUAAAUGCACUUUAUUCAUUACUAUUGCUCUUCCUUGACUUACCUUUUUCUUUUGGGGCCUAGUGAUGCAUUGAGCUGAGGUCAGUAAUUGCCCACUGGGAACUAUAAAUUAUAGUUCUCACGCCCUCUGUUUUAUGUUUUCUUUCAGAGCCUUCCACGCUGGGAGAGGCUAGGGACCGAGGGAAGGGAGUUGCUUCGAGCUAGCUUUCUUCGAGGGCGAUUUGAUAGGUGGUCUACCUCUCGUGGUUUUAUUUUGUGAGAGGUUGUGAGUUGUACCCGUAUAUGUAUAGAGACCACCCUUCGUUUGGAUCUUUGUAUUUCUUUUGAGGAGAUAGCAUUGUAUCACUUUGUGCUUUACUUUCAUUGUCUAGUUAUGUUUCUUUUACUCUGGUUUAGAUGAUGGAACUUUACUCGCUCUGAUAUCAUUAGUUGUUAUUAUUCUAUUUGUUCUAUUUAUUGCUUUUACUUUCGCUUUUAUUGUAGACGCCUUAUAUGUGUAGACAUAUGACGGGUCUGGGCACGCUACCGGGAGGGCCUCCGCCGAUCCCGGGGCGUGACAGAUUAAUUUGGUAUCAGAGCCUAGGGUUAAGUCUUAGUGGACCUUGCAAACCUUAGGCCGGUUGGACUAUAGGAAUUAGGCUCGUGAGAGACGAGGUCUAAUUGACUUGUGAGCAAAAGUAUUUCGAUUGGGUUUAUGAUAACUCUAAAAAGUUAGAGUUUGAUCGGAGUGUAUGGCUUCUAACUUCGCGGAGGGUUACGUUGGCGGCCGACAACGUAACAUCGGGAGUUAGCAGUGAAGGACACUUUCUUACUUUCGCAUGAUUUGGGUUUUAUCUAUUUGAGCGGGGUUGCGAUAGCGUGGGUUACUAACUUGCGCUUUUAUGUUUUGUAGUGACGAUGCCGGUUACACGCUCCCAGUCUGCCGGGGCGGAUGAUGCGGCACAUCCCGAGGAGGUCUAGACCUCCGCUACUUUCGGAUCUAGUGAGGUCCGUGACUUGAGGGCCCAGCUUGCGGUUCUCACUGAUCUGUUGGCGCAGCAGACGGCAGCGGCGCCGCGACAGGCUGAGGUGGCUCAGCGGCAGGAGGCACGGAUGAAGCAUCUUGAGGACCUUCUACUUCUGCAGGCGGCAGCUUCGAGGGAGACCCAAGGUCCCACACCGCCAGCACCCGUGGUGGACGUCGCACCGAGGGCGCAGUACCCCGUGCCCAGUUCUUCACGUACGGCACCGGCGACUGCACCUCGGGAGAAGGUGGCUGCGGCACUACCAGUUCAGAGACCGGCGACAGGGGCGGCAUUCCCCGUGAUGGCCGAGGGAGCCGAGCGGGAUCGGCUCAUGGAUCGCCUCAGUGAGUUAGGAAGUGCAGCCCGAGGACGUUUGAUGGCGAGAACGUCGACCACUGGAUUGUUGAGAAGUGGUUGAUGCAUAUGGAGAAACUUUUUCGAGACACCUUUGUGGAGGAGCGGGACAGAGUUUGGCUCGCCACUCACUUUCUGGACGGCGAGGCCUAUCGUUGGUGGUUGGAUAUCCAGGACAACCCCAACACCGAUUUGGCAGCGAUUACUUGGACGAGGUUCAAGGAGCUUCUUCUAGCGCACCACUUUCCUACCAGCGUUAAGAGGAAGAUGGAGCAGGAUUUGCGCAACUUGCGCCAGGACGAGCGGUUAGUGGCUGAGUACGAGAGGGAGUUCUCCCGGAUACUACACUGUAUACCAUUUGUUGUGAGGGAUGACAAGGACAAGGCCCGCAUAUUUGAGCGUGGUUUGCGGCCUUCUAUCUUCCGGUUGGUGCAGUCUUCCAACCUCCAGACCUAUCGGGAGGUUGUGGAUCGAGCAUUUAUAGUGGAGGCAGGAGCGGCGGAUUUGCAGGAGCGUCGCGAGAGCUCGGAGAAAGGGAAGGGAAAGAGGCCCGUGGCUGAGGGUGUGAGUCAGACGCACUCACGGAGGCCGCCGAGGCACCCCAGGAGCCGGAGCCAGUCGCGAGGACGUGGCUCAUUUACUCAGCGAGGAGGACCCGACCGUCGCCAGGCUCCCCGCUGCGUGAUCUGUGGUGGUCCCCACUACCCACGACAGUGUACACGCAGCCGGGGCAGGUGCUUCUUGUGUGGCCAGGAGGGCCACUUCCAGUCGGACUGCCCGAGGAGCCCAUUGCCAGCGCCAUCUUCGGCAUCUGCACCAGCAUCACCGGGUCCCAGUCAGGGGACAUCUUCUGCGCAUCACCAGGCCGAACGACCACCUGUUCAGCGACAGGCGGAGGGGUCACGACAGGCCCCCAGCGGCCGCUUGUACGCGGCCCAGACUGAGGAGGCGGCGGCAGCCGAGAAUGUGGUCGCAGGUAUCAUUUUACUUCAUGGCAUUCGAGUUAGAGCAUUGUUUGAUACCGGUGCAUCGCAUUCGUUCAAUGAUCGGCUGUUUGCCGAGCUGCAUGGCAUCUCACUUGUAUCCUUGUUGCACCCGGGACGAGUUGUUGUACCCGAUCAUUUCUUGGACAUUCGGGAGUUUUGCCCCAGCUGCCCUAUUCGGGUUGGAGAUUAGAUCAUGCCCAUAGAUUUGCUAGCCUUGCAUAAACUCGGGGAGUUUGAUGUUGUGUUGGGCAUGGAUUGGUUGACUAAGUAUUUCGCCACUAUCGAUUGUAAGGAUCGAACGGUGACUUUUAGAGAGCCAGGGCAGGCGGAGGUUGUGUACCGAGGAUGCCAGAGUUCACUGUUUGCGAUGACGAUUAGCUCCUCUCGAGCUAGGCAGUUGAUUAGUAGAGGCUGCGUAGCCUAUUUGGCUACUGUCGUGUUGCGGGGCAAUGCGGACGCCCCUAGGAUUGAGGAUAUCUCCGUAGUGCGGGAGUUUGGAGAUGUGUUUCCAGCAGAGCUUCCAGGCAUGCCUCUUGAUAGGGAGAUUGAGUUUGUGGUAGAUCUCGUCCCCGGGACUACCCUGAUCUCAAAGGCACCCUAUAGGAUAGCACCAGCAGAAUUAAAGGAGCUGAAGGCACAGUUGCAGGAUCUUCUGGAUAAGGGUUUCGUGCGACCGAGUGUGUCACCUUGGGGAGCACCGAUUUUGUUUGUAAAGAAGAAGGAUGGAUCACUUCGCUUAUGUGUGGACUAUCGUGAACUUAAUAAAGUCACGAUCAAGAACAAGUAUCCAUUGCCGAGGAUCGACGAUCUAUUUGAUCAGCUCCAGGGAUCUUGUGUAUAUUCCAAAUUUGACCUGCAGUCGGGAUAUCACCAGUUGAGGAUCAGACCUGAGGAUGUAUCGAAGAUGACUUUUAGAAUACGGUAUGGACACUAUGAGUUUACUGUUAUGCCGUUUGGGCUUACUAAUGCCCCGGCAGCUUUUAUGGAUCUAAUGAACCGUGUUUUCAAGCCUUAUUUAGACAGGUUUGUCGUGGUGUUCAUCGACGACAUUUUGGUCUAUUCCCGAAGUGAUGCGGAUCACGAGGAACAUUUGAGACUUGUACUUCAAGUGCUUCGGGAAAAGAAGCUCUAUGCCAAGUUGAAAAAGUGUAAAUUUUGGCUUAGAGAGGUGGCAUAUUUGGGUCAUUUGAUUCUGGAUCAGGCAUGGCCGUCGACUCGAGAAAAAUUGAAGCUAUCAAGGAUUGGCCGAGGCCGACGAGUGUGACCGAGAUACGGAGCUUCAUUGGUUUGGCCGGCUAUUACCGACGGUUCGUCGAGGGAUUUGCAAAGUUAUCUACUCCUCUCACGAGACUCACGCAUAAGGGCACCAAGUUUAUUUGGAAUGAUGCAUGUGAAAAGAGCUUCCAAGAGUUGAAGCAGCGAUUGACGACCGCCCCGGUCCUAACAUUGCCGACUGCUGGAGUAGGGUAUGUGAUUUAUAGUAAUCCUUCCUUUAAUGGAUUGGGCUGUGUGUUAAUGCAGGACAGAAAAGUGAUCGCGUAUGCAUCUCGCCAAUUGAAGGAUUAUGAAAGGAAUUACCCUACUCACGACUUAGAGUUGGCGGCCGUGGUCUUUGCAUUGAAGCUAUGGCGCCACUACUUAUACGGCGAGCGAUGCGAAGUAUAUACGGAUCACAAAAGUUUAAAGUAUCUAUUCACUCAGAAGGAGUUGAACUUGAUGCAGCGCAGAUGGUUGGAGCUACUCAAGGAUUAUGAUUUGACGAUACUUUACCACCCGGGCAAGGCUAACGUGGUGGCUGAUGCGCUAAGUAGGAAAUCGACGAAAAACUUAGCGAUGCUUGUGGUUACUCAACCGCCGUUGAUCGAGCAGAUGAAGCAGUUGGAGUUGGAGGUGGUGGCUCCUGAUACACCUUUGAGACUCAUGACUUUGGUAGUGCAACCUACACUUUUGGAAAAGAUUAAAGAAAAGCAAGCUUCCGACUCGGAGUUGCAAAAGAUUCGAGCUAAAAUGGUUGAUGGUUGCACUGGUGACUUCACUUUAGACGGUGAUGGAUUGAUGCAUUUCCGCGGACGACUUUGUGUACCGGCGGACUUGGGCAUUAAAGAGGAUAUUCUUCAAGAAGCCCACCGAGCACCAUAUGCUAUACAUCCGGGAGGCACCAAGAAGUACAAGGACUUGAAGUUGCUUUACUGGUGGCCCGGGAUGAAAAAGGAUGUUGGUGAGUUUGUUGCUAGAUGUUUAACUUGCCAACAGGUGAAGGCUGAGCACCGAGUUCCUGCAGGAAAGUUGCACAGUCUACCGAUUCCAGUGUGGAAAUGGGAAAAGAUCACCAUGGAUUUCGUGAUGGGAUUGCCUCGCUCACAGGCCGGGUAUGACGCUAUUUGGGUGAUUGUGGAUAGAUUGAUGAAAUCGGCACAUUUCAUACCUAUCCACACUACUUGGACUGGUGAGAGACUCGCACAGGUUUAUUUGGAUGAGAUUGUGCGAUUGCACGGGGUACCUACUUCUAUAGUAUCGGAUCGAGACCCCCGUUUUGUAUCCCACUUUUGGAGGAGCUUACAGGACGCUCUGGGUACGCGUUUGGACUUCAGUACAGCUUUCCACCCUCAGAGUGACGGGCAGUCGGAGCGUACUAUACAGACUCUCGAGGACAUGCUUCGAGCCUGCGUGAUUGACUUCCAGGGAGGAUGGUCGCAGCAUCUACCGAUGGCAGAGUUUGCUUAUAACAACAGUUAUCAAGCAAGCAUCAAGAUGGCACCGUUCGAGGCACUCUAUGGACGGAAGUGUAGAUCGCCACUUCAUUGGAGUGAAGUUGGCGAGAGAUUGGCUUUAGGCCCUGAUGUGCUUCAGGAAGCAGAGGACAAGAUUCGCAUUGCUCGGGAGCGAUUGUUGACGGCCUAGAGUAGGCAGAGGAGUUAUGCUGAUCGGCGUCGACGAAACUUAGAGUUUCAGAUUGGAGAUCACGUCUUCUUAAAAGUCUCGCCGAUCCGAGGGAUUAGAAGAUUUGGAAUCCGGGGUAAAUUGAGCCCCCGAUACAUUGAACCGUAUGAGGUUUUGGAGUGUGUAGGCCCGGUAGCAUAUAGACUUGCUCUACCGCCGAACCUAUCGGGUGUACACAAUGUAUUCCAUGUAUCGGUCCUUCGGAAGUACAUCCACGACCCGGCUCAUGUUUUGGACGCUACGCCUUUGGAGCUGAGGGAGGACCUGAGCUUUGAGGAGCAACCUUUAAGGAUUUUGGCUCGCGAAGUAAAAAGAUUGCGGAACCAUGAGAUUCCCUACGUGAAGGUGCUUUGGAGCAACCACGACGAGCACAAGGCCACUUGGGAGUUGGAGAGCGCGCUGCGAGAGCGCUAUCCCCAUCUUUUUCAGAUGGAGGCUUGAGGUAUCUUUACUUUUCGAGUUUCGUGGACGAAACUCCUUUUAGGAGGGGUGAAUGUAACACACUGGACCUUUGCAAAUUGCGAGGUCCGAGUGGUUGGUUGUGUGCUAAGCAAUUCCAGACUUUUUGGUGGGUCGUUGACAGUGUUUCGACCUAUGGCUCGCAUCCCGAGAAGUGAGGUUUAAAGCCUAGCACAAAAAUCCGAAAAAUCGGAUUUUUGGUCAGCUCUCGGGUAGUCUUCAGCAGAGCUUGUACCGGUACAAGGUUGAUGGCUGUACUGGUACAAGGCUGAUGGUUGUACCGGUACAAGGUGCUUGUACCGGUACAGGGCCGGUUACCCCGCCAACCCGAGCCUCGGGUUGUGAUUUUCGUGGGGCUUGUACCGGUACAAGGGCUUGUGUACCGGUACAAGGAGGCUGAUUUCGUGCAGUUUAAACU
Molecule: long non-coding RNA, 8133 nt
Filed under: Ananas comosus (pineapple)
Lineage: Eukaryota; Viridiplantae; Streptophyta; Magnoliopsida; Poales; Bromeliaceae
Description: long non-coding RNA (ACOM_LNC041377)
Source: RNAcentral